UUCUGAUUUUUCAUUAAGGACGAAAAAUUCCAGUUUUUGCGGAAUAGUCCCCCCUCCGGUUCUCUCUCUCUCUCUCUCGCUCGAAACCCUCCCCAGGCCCGUCCACCCUCCGACCCGACCCGGCCGAACACGGCCCCUCCGGCCUUCUCCGGCCCCUGACCCGGACUCCCCUGGGAUCGCCGCCCCACGACGAGCCUCCCUCUGGUGUCGCCUUGCCUCGCCGCUGCUCCGAAAGCUGGAUCGAAGCCCCUCCGAACCUAAGUUUCGACCCGAUCGGAUCUUGGUCGUGCCGGCGUUGCAUGGGCCGAUCCUCUCGGUUUUGGGUUGUUCUCCUCCCCCUGAUCAUCCCCAUAUCCAAUCUGAUCAGAUCAGACGCACCAGAUUAAUCUGAACUUCAAAGCUUGAUCUAGGACGAUCUAGGCCGAACCGGACUUAGCUCCAGGUACUUGACGGUUUGAGUUGACGAGCGUUUGGAAUAUCAUUAUAUUUGAGUUUUUAGAAGACGC
This is a long non-coding RNA of Rosa chinensis, 506 nucleotides long. RefSeq lists it as uncharacterized. Lineage: Eukaryota; Viridiplantae; Streptophyta; Magnoliopsida; Rosales; Rosaceae. The record is from RefSeq and is a predicted model, not a curated record. The transcript is spliced from 3 exons.